Molecule: long non-coding RNA, 2083 nt
Filed under: Homo sapiens (human)
Lineage: Eukaryota; Metazoa; Chordata; Mammalia; Primates; Hominidae
Description: HSALNT0340345
Source: RNAcentral
AACUUCAUUUUAUCAUUCCACCUUGUACACAUAUUACAUGAAUGUAUACAGCUGUGAUUUGUCAAUUUUUUAAAAAUUUAAAAGAGAAAGAGUCAUGGAAUUAGAGUAAGAAAAACCAAAAGAAGAAGGAUAAAUCAAAGAGAGUGAAGAAAGAGGAAGAGAAAGAAGAGAAAACAGAGAAAGGGAGAAACAGAUUAAGGGAGAGAAAGUGAAUACAGCGAGGAAGAAAAUUUUACAUAUAUACAUACACUCAUAUACAUUAAUUUAUGCAUACUAGUUGGCUAUAUAUAUAUUUGUGCAUUCUUUUCUAUACGUAGAAGAUUGGAAGAUGAAGCUGAGAAAACAUCUCAGCAUGCACAAUUAAAAAAAAAAUGAAUGAAAAUAGAAGAAACUUAAGAUUAUGAGAGCAACCCAUGAAGUCCAACAUCUGAAAAAUGAGAGUUACAGAAGAAAAAAUGGACAAAAGAGACAUGGAGAUCAAAUUAUCAAAGCAAUUAUACAUUUUCCCAUAAUUGAAUGACAUGACUUUGCAGGUUAAAAGGCUCACCAACUGUCUGUUAUGAUAAUUAAAAUAUGACUCCACAACCAGUAAUGGAUUAAAUAUAUCCCUAAAUCUUCUAGUGAGAUAAAAGAGGUCAAAUACAAAGGAAAUAGGCUUUGAACUCCUUUACAGCAAGUUUGGAAAUAAGAAAACAAGGAAUGAAUGUUUGCAAAAUUUUAACAACUAAUCGUCUCCAACUUUGAAUUCUAUACACAGCCAUUGGACCAAACAAGGGGACAAAAUGGCAGCAGCCAGCCUGACCAUUCCCUUCCCAUCAUGAGGGAGAGGGCUGUGGUAUGGACAGCAGCAGCUGACUGGCCACAGGUGCAGCCACUGCCAUCCAGCCCCGACUCAUUCCUAGAAUAAGAACCACCAGACUGCCCUCUGACACCUGCCUCAGCGGUCCCCACCACUCCUCAAACCCUGUCACCGUCCACAGACAAGCCCUGGAGGGGUGGGGAAAAGGUGGGGCUCUGGGGCUUCUUUUUCAGAGAUGGGAGGUGCACAGGCUGGGGAGGAACCCCCAGAGUAUGCAAUCUUUUAGGACUGGCUUCUUUCACUUAGCAGUAUGCAUUUAAGAUUUUUUAUUGUUGUUGUUUGGGGUUUUGUUGUUGCUGUUGUUGUUCUUGUUGUUUCUUUUGGUUGUUGUUGUUGUUGUUUUGAGACAGGGUCUCACUCUAUCGCCCAGGCUGAAGUGCAGUGGUGCAAUUAGGCUCACUGCAACUUCUACCUCCCAAGUUUAAGCCAUUCUCGUGCCUCAACCUCCACAGGAGCUGGGAUUAUAGGUGCGCACCACCAUGCCUGGCUACAUUUAAGGUUUAUACAUAUAUAUAUUUUGUGUGUGUGUGUGUGUGUGUGUGGCUUGAUAGCUUACUUUUUAACUUCUGAAUAGUAUUUCAUUGUAUGGAUAUGCCAUAGUUUGUUUAUUCAUUCACCUGUUGAAGUUUUUGGUGAUUAUGAAUAAGGCUGCUAUAAACAUAAGCAUGCAGGGUUUUGUACAGACAAAAGUUUUUAACUCAAUUGUUUAAUUACCUAGGAGCGUAAUUGUGGGACUGGAUUGUAACAUUGUCUUUAGCAUUGUCAGAAACUGCUAAACUGUCUUCUGAGGUUUCAAUGUUAUUUUACAUUUCUAAUAGCAAUGAAUGAGAGUUCCUUUUGCUCUCCAUCUUUGCCAGUAGCUGGUAGUGCCAGUUUUUUGUUUUUAUUUUAGCCAUUCUAAUGGGUGUGUAGUGGUAUUUCAUUAUUGUUUAAUUUGCAAUUUUCUAAUGACGUAUAAUGUUGAGCAUCUUUUCACACGUUUGUCUGCCUCUAAAUGUCUUCUUUGGUAAGGUUUCUGUUCAGAUUUUUUGCCUAUUUCUUAAUUAGGUUGCUUAUUUUCUUUGUUGAGUUUCAAGAGUUGUUUAUAUGUUUUACAAACAAAUUAUUUAUCAGAUAAGGGUUUUGUAUAUAUUUCCUUCUACUUCAUGCCUUGUCUUUUGAUGGUCUUAACAUUGCCUCUCACAGAGCAAAACACUUAAAUUUUAAUAAAGACAACUAUUUUUU